AACGAACGCUGGCGGCAUGCCUAACACAUGCAAGUCGAACGAGAUCUUCGGGUCUAGUGGCGCACGGGUGCGUAACGCGUGGGAAUCUGCCCAUUGGUUCGGAAUAACAGUUGGAAUCGACUGCUAAUACCGGAUGAUGACGAAAGUCCAAAGAUUUAUCGCCAGAGGAUGAGCCCGCGUAGGAUUAGCUAGUUGGUGUGGUAAAGGCGCACCAAGGCGACGAUCCUUAGCUGGUCUGAGAGGAUGAUCAGCCACACUGGGACUGAGACACGGACCAGACUCCUACGGGAGGCAGCAGUGGGGAAUAUUGGACAAUGGGCGAAAGCCUGAUCCAGCAAUGCCGCGUGAGUGAUGAAGGCCUUAGGGUUGUAAAGCUCUUUUACCCGGGAUGAUAAUGACAGUACCGGGAGAAUAAGCUCCGGCUAACUCCGUGCCAGCAGCCGCCGUAA
RNAcentral lists this ribosomal RNA (449 nucleotides) under uncultured bacterium. RNAcentral describes it as "partial 16S ribosomal RNA". It matches the Rfam family "Bacterial small subunit ribosomal RNA", at positions 29 to 523 of the family's 1533-position model. The record is from RNAcentral.